RNAcentral lists this ribosomal RNA (435 nucleotides) under uncultured bacterium. RNAcentral's name for it is "partial 16S ribosomal RNA". It matches the Rfam family "Bacterial small subunit ribosomal RNA", at positions 29 to 507 of the family's 1533-position model. The record is from RNAcentral.
AGCGAACGCUGGCGGCAGGCUUAACACAUGCAAGUCGAACGGGCAUAGCAAUAUGUCAGUGGCAGACGGGUGCGUAACGCGUGGGAACGUACCUUUUGGUUCGGAACAACACAGGGAAACUUGUGCUAAUACCGGAUAAGCCCUUACGGGGAAAGAUUUAUCGCCGAAAGAUCGGCCCGCGUCUGAUUAGCUAGUUGGUAGGGUAAUGGCCUACCAAGGCGACGAUCAGUAGCUGGUCUGAGAGGAUGAUCAGCCACAUUGGGACUGAGACACGGCCCAAACUCCUACGGGAAGCAGCAGUGGGGAAUAUUGGACAAUGGGCGAAAGCCUGAUCCAGCCAUGCCGCGUGAGUGAUGAAGGCCCUAGGGUUGUAAAGCUCUUUUGUGCGGGAAGAUAAUGACGGUACCGCAAGAAUAAGCCCCGGCUAACUUCGUG